Pangasianodon hypophthalmus (striped catfish) is the source of this 2609-nucleotide long non-coding RNA. RefSeq lists it as uncharacterized. The transcript is spliced from 4 exons. The record is from RefSeq and is a predicted model, not a curated record. NCBI's taxonomy places the organism in Eukaryota, Metazoa, Chordata, Actinopteri, Siluriformes, Pangasiidae.
GUGUGUGUGUGUGUGUGUGUGCUCUCUAUCCUCCUCCUCCUCUUCGCGCAGAGCUCCAAAUCCCGUAUUAACGCCCAGCACUCGGGGGGGUCUUCAGCACAGGAAGGCUACAUCAAUGAACAGAUCAGCUCCAGUGACGCAUAAAACAUGUGGAGAGGACUUCAGCUAGGCCCAACACGGCUUAUUCGGGAUUUAAAGUGGCCAGAUUUGCUGGACAACCCACAAUAGAGGUUUGAUCCAAGCGUACCUGUCGGCCGUUCCGCUCAACUACACAGGAAGAAGGGGGAUGAAACGGAGGCGCUGAGGAAACUGGAGAGAAAUGAUUAUUGAUUUAAUCACAUAAUCAGCAGCCAACACUUCAGGCCCAGAUAGCAAAUCCAUAAUAGCCUCGCCACAUAAGCGGCCCCUUACAAAUUUACCUCCAAAGCCCAGCACGUGCACACACUGCAAACACGGCGAGGCCGAGGGUCACCUUCAGCCGCCGUCAAAAUAUUGACACUCCUGACGCUUAAAUAUGGUUUUGAGUUAAGCGUUAUCAAUCAUCGAUAAAGUACAACAGCAGUGACGGACGGAUUAGAGAAACGCUUUUAUUCUUAUAAUCUGAGAAUCUAUCGGACAAAAGGGGAAAUCAAUUACGUGUGAGUGUGUGUGUGUCUGUGUGUGUGGUCAGGAAGAGAGAGCACAUGAAAACACAAGCUGUCUGGUCAUCCUUAAGCGUUCAGCUACCUGCUUUUCAUUUUCCCUCUAACUGCAGAUCUCUAACUGUGUGUAUGCAUGUUCUUAUGUGUGUGUGUGUGUGUGUGUGUGUGUGUGUGUGUGUGUGUGCAUUUGAAAGGUGGCCUAACCCUUCAUCAAUAUGACACCCCUAAUUGUAGUGCUCCCUCAAAGAUGCCACCAAAGACACGUCACGUCACUCACACAGGUUUUAUUGAUACACUCAUAGUGUAGACAUGACGACGAAAUCCAGAGUUCAUCACAACGUGUAGCGACAAUCAAACAGUAGCUUCACAAAUUACAUGUCUGUCGAACGAAUAUCUCUAUACCACCAACAGACGGGUAAACAAUCCGAAAAAAGGAACUUACACCUGCACGUCGGCGACGUUCACAAUUCCGCAGGUCAGAGGAUAUUGAGCGCGAAUACGUAAUUGUGCCUUUUUUUACUUCACUGUCAGGUCAAAAAUAUCAUUCUGACAAGUCGUUUUGACGCCGGCGUUUUAUUUUAUUGGAAACAAAAGGUGUGCAUGGUGGUUAGGAUUGAGAGACUGAAAGAAAAUGAAUGAAAACCCCGUCCCAUUAUCUUUGGCCCCUUCUUUUUUCAAAGAGCGAUGGAUAACAAAAGCCACGUGCGCAUGCCAGGACUCUUAAGUGGGACGUCUUUGUUUCGUGUUUCUAUCACUGUACUGUCACCGAGUUUCAACAAAUCACAGAUAUUUCCAUCCUCUUUUCACUUUGAUGUCUGAGAUUUUAACUAAGUUUGCAGUGAAAUCUCAGACUUUAGAAUACAGACUUUGGAAUACUAAGAGACAACGUAAAUUCUUCAGCAAUUCAUUACGCUGAAGAAACAAUUUCCGAAUGAAUCAUCAUAUUUGGAAGGACAUGGCUUCAGCUGUAAGGUUUGGAAUUACAGACUCAUAGCAGACAUAGUGCGUCUUCCUGCUGAGGUUUUCACUAACGUUGCGAUAGGAACAAUCGAACUAGCUUCACUAAUUAUGUAUCUGUCAUACGAAAAUUUCUAUCUCAGCAAUAGAUGGAUAAACAAUCCUAAAAAGGAACGUACACCUGCAUAUCAGCGACGUUCACAAUUGCGUAGAUCAGAAUGCCUGAAAAAUGGCAUAUUUUAAUGGGCGGGGUUUCGGUUGUAUCAUGUAGAAUUUGAUUGGCUUGUGGAAAAACAAAUAUGGACUCUGUGGAAUAUAUAUUAGCCGCUAAUCUACAGUCAAAUGUGGACAAUCACACGCUUUGUUUCAACACCACCGGAUGGCACGCUCAUUAGAGGAAGCAGAAGCAGAUGAAAUUCUGCGAAGAUGGAAGACAAGGAUGAACAUUUUAGCACAAGAGUGAAGCCCUAUUUAUUUGAAGAAUAAACAGUGCACAUGACUCGUGACUCCAAAGCCGAGGCCAAAUUUGAUAAAUUGUUGUUUUAAUACCACAGCUAUUUUGAAUUCUCGAAUCUGAUUGGUCAGAAGGAGUGGAGUACUCUUCAAGGCAAACAACAGGUUUAUAUUAGUGCCUCGUUGUAAUACAUUAUCGUUUCUAUAGUGACAACCUACAUGUAUGUUGCACACGCCUCAUGAUCUAAUGGCAAUGACGACGGAUUAAAAAAAGUUUUGUUACAUAAUUUUGAUAUGGUGAAAUGUAUUUAACAUUUAUGGAAGGAGUCUCCAGUGUUAGUGCUUUGCAACAGUCAGAUGUAAUGCUUUACGUUUUCAGCCACAGGAAAGUCUUCAGAAUGGAGGACGCUGUGCUUUUCAGAUUCUCAGUUUGAUUUAGUCCAAUUGAAAAAAAAAAUCAAUUGAAAAUAAAAAAAAUAAAAAAAUAAAUACAUUGUGAAGUCUGCUAUGUAUAAAAAUGAUAUGAGCAUAUGAGCUUCUGCAAUUAAUUUCAUGGGG